RNAcentral lists this ribosomal RNA (492 nucleotides) under uncultured bacterium. RNAcentral describes it as "partial 16S ribosomal RNA". It matches the Rfam family "Bacterial small subunit ribosomal RNA", at positions 29 to 507 of the family's 1533-position model. The record is from RNAcentral.
AGUGAACGCUGGCGGUAGGCCUAACACAUGCAAGUCGAACGGCAGCACAGUAAGAGCUUGCUCUUACGGGUGGCGAGUGGCGGACGGGUGAGGAAUACAUCGGAAUCUACUUUUUCGUGGGGGAUAACGUAGGGAAACUUACGCUAAUACCGCAUACGACCUACGGGUGAAAGCAGGGGAUCUUCGGACCUUGCGCGAUUGAAUGAGCCGAUGUCGGAUUAGCUAGUUGGCGGGGUAAAGGCCCACCAAGGCGACGAUCCGUAGCUGGUCUGAGAGGAUGAUCAGCCACACUGGAACUGAGACACGGUCCAGACUCCUACGGGAGGCAGCAGUGGGGAAUAUUGGACAAUGGGCGCAAGCCUGAUCCAGCCAUACCGCGUGUGUGAAGAAGGCCUUCGGGUUGUAAAGCCCUUUUGUUGGGAAAGAAAAGCAGCAGGUUAAUACCCCGCUGUUCUGACGGUACCCAAAGUAUAAGCACCGGCUAACUUCGUG